GACGAACGCUGGCGGCGUGCCUAACACAUGCAAGUCGAACGGGGGUAGCAAUACCUCAGUGGCGAACGGGUGCGUAACACGUGAAGAAUUUGUCUAACGGCGGGGGAUAGCCGGCCCAACGGCCGGGUAAUACCGCGUACGACCUCUGGAGGGCAUCCUCUGGCGGUGAAAGCCGCAAGGCGCCGAUAGAGAACUUCGCGGCCUAUCAGCUAGUUGGCGGGGUAAUGGCCCACCAAGGCGACGACGGGAGCUGGUCCGAGAGGAUGACCAGCCACAUUGGGACUGAGACACGGCCCAGACUCCUACGGGAGGCAGCAGUGGGGAAUAUUGCGCAAUGGGCGAAAGCCUGACGCAGCGACGCCGCGUGUGGGAUGACGGCC
Molecule: ribosomal RNA, 380 nt
Filed under: uncultured bacterium
Lineage: Bacteria
Description: bacterial SSU rRNA
Rfam family: Bacterial small subunit ribosomal RNA
Source: RNAcentral